UUGCCCUCGGAUCAUGGUAGGAAUGCCACGCUCAAAUAUAAU
This 42-nucleotide ribosomal RNA is filed under the name fungal endophyte sp. EF6. RNAcentral's name for it is "partial 28S rRNA". Lineage: Eukaryota; Fungi. The record is from RNAcentral.